Molecule: ribosomal RNA, 969 nt
Filed under: Bacillus sp. (in: firmicutes)
Lineage: Bacteria; Bacillati; Bacillota; Bacilli; Caryophanales; Bacillaceae
Description: bacterial LSU rRNA
Rfam family: Bacterial large subunit ribosomal RNA
Source: RNAcentral
GAUUCCCUGAGUAGCGGCGAGCGAAACGGGAACAGCCCAAACCAAGAGGCUUGCCUCUUGGGGUUGUAGGACACUCUGUACGGAGUUACAAAGGAACGAGGUAGAUGAAGAGGUCUGGAAAGGCCCGCCAUAGGAGGUAACAGCCCUGUAGUCAAAACUUCGUUCUCUCCUGAGUGGAUCCUGAGUACGGCGGAACACGUGAAAUUCCGUCGGAAUCCGGGAGGACCAUCUCCCAAGGCUAAAUACUCCCUAGUGACCGAUAGUGAACCAGUACCGUGAGGGAAAGGUGAAAAGCACCCCGGAAGGGGAGUGAAAGAGAUCCUGAAACCGUGUGCCUACAAGUAGUCAGAGCCCGUUAACGGGUGAUGGCGUGCCUUUUGUAGAAUGAACCGGCGAGUUACGAUCCCGUGCAAGGUUAAGUUUGAAAAGACGGAGCCGCAGCGAAAGCGAGUCUGAAUAGGGCGCAUGAGUACGUGGUCGUAGACCCGAAACCAGGUGAUCUACCCAUGUCCAGGGUGAAGUUCAGGUAACACUGAAUGGAGGCCCGAACCCACGCACGUUGAAAAGUGCGGGGAUGAGGUGUGGGUAGGGGUGAAAUGCCAAUCGAACCUGGAGAUAGCUGGUUCUCUCCGAAAUAGCUUUAGGGCUAGCCUCAAGGUAAGAGUCUUGGAGGUAGAGCACUGAUUGGACUAGGGGCCCCUACCGGGUUACCGAAUUCAGUCAAACUCCGAAUGCCAAAGACUUAUCCUUGGGAGUCAGACUGCGAGUGAUAAGAUCCGUAGUCGAAAGGGAAACAGCCCAGACCGCCAGCUAAGGUCCCAAAGUAUACGUUAAGUGGAAAAGGAUGUGGAGUUGCUUAAACAACCAGGAUGUUGGCUUAAAAACAGCCACCAUUUAAAGAAUGCGUACUAGUUCACUGGUCGAGUGAUUCUGCGCCGAAAAUGUACCGGGGCUAAACGUAACACCGAA